UACGAAGGGGGGCUAGCGUUGUUCGGAAUCACUGGGCGUAAAGCGCACGUAGGCGGAUCUUUUAAGUCAGGGGUGAAAUCCCGAGGCUCAACCUCGGAACUUGCCUUUGAUACUGGGGAUCUCGAGUCCGGGAGAGGUGAGUGGAACUGCGAGUGUAGAGGUGAAAUUCGUAGAUAUCGCAAGAACACCAGUGGCGAAGGCGGCUCACUGGCCCGGUACUGACGCUGAGGUGCGAAAGCGUGGGGAGCAAACAGG
Molecule: ribosomal RNA, 255 nt
Filed under: uncultured bacterium
Lineage: Bacteria
Description: partial 16S ribosomal RNA
Rfam family: Bacterial small subunit ribosomal RNA
Source: RNAcentral